AGACAGGAAAAACACCCAAAAGGUAAAGGCCAGGCUGGUUCAUGCCGGACACCUAACCCCCUGCUACCACAUGCUGUUUUCCACACUGGGUGCUGGCCUGUGGGAACCUGCACAAGUCGGGGGCAACAUGGUCCCAGGAAGUCUUUGACAGGCUGCCCCCUGCUGGCUGCUGCGGGAACCACAUGGCAGAUGGCUCCUGGUGUCCCCUGGAAGGGGUAUCAGAUUUCCUUCGUUCUUGGAAUCUCUGCGGUUUGGGAAGACAAACAGAACUGUUCUGCCCCGGGGGAGGGAGCUGCAAAUGCAAAAGAGGCUCCAUCACGCGGUGCAGAGCUGGGGGCACCGCUGGCCCACCCAUCCCUGUCGAGUCCUCUGACCCGUUUCUUCAUUUCUCAGUCAGGUCUUGCUCUGUCACCCAGGCUGGAGUGUGUGGUGCGAUCAUGCCUCACAGCAGCCUUGACAUCCCCAGGCUCAGAUGAUCCUCCCACCUCAGCCUCCUGAGUAGCCGCGACUACAGGCGCAUGCCACCACACCCAGGGUCCCAUCCAGAUACCACAUGACACCCGGUUGUCCUGUCUUCGGAGGCUCCUCCUGGCUGGGACAGCUUCUCAGACUUUCCUUGCUGCGAUGGCUGCUCAAGCUUUGAGGAGUACAGUCAGUGUUCUAUAGAACGUCUCUCUCGCUACUGAAAUUCGUCUAAUGUUUUU
This is a long non-coding RNA of Homo sapiens (human), 704 nucleotides long. The record is from Ensembl. Lineage: Eukaryota; Metazoa; Chordata; Mammalia; Primates; Hominidae.